This 465-nucleotide ribosomal RNA is filed under the name Vreelandella stevensii. RNAcentral describes it as "partial 16S ribosomal RNA". It matches the Rfam family "Bacterial small subunit ribosomal RNA", at positions 338 to 795 of the family's 1533-position model. Lineage: Bacteria; Pseudomonadati; Pseudomonadota; Gammaproteobacteria; Oceanospirillales; Halomonadaceae. The record is from RNAcentral.
CCUACGGGUGGCUGCAGUGGGGAAUAUUGGACAAUGGGGGCAACCCUGAUCCAGCCAUGCCGCGUGUGUGAAGAAGGCCCUCGGGUUGUAAAGCACUUUCAGUGAGGAAGAACGCCUGGUGGUUAAUACCCAUCAGGAAAGACAUCACUCACAGAAGAAGCACCGGCUAACUCCGUGCCAGCAGCCGCGGUAAUACGGAGGGUGCGAGCGUUAAUCGGAAUUACUGGGCGUAAAGCGCGCGUAGGUGGCUUGAUAAGCCGGUUGUGAAAGCCCCGGGCUCAACCUGGGAACGGCAUCCGGAACUGUCAAGCUAGAGUGCAGGAGAGGAAGGUAGAAUUCCCGGUGUAGCGGUGAAAUGCGUAGAGAUCGGGAGGAAUACCAGUGGCGAAGGAGGCCUUCUGGACUGACACUGACACUGAGGUGCGAAAGCGUGGGUAGCAAACAGGAUUAGAUACCCGAGUAGUC